This 9640-nucleotide long non-coding RNA is filed under the name Sus scrofa (pig). RNAcentral describes it as "lncRNA (ENSSSCG00040034088.1)". Lineage: Eukaryota; Metazoa; Chordata; Mammalia; Artiodactyla; Suidae. The record is from RNAcentral.
CCUUGGGCUGAGCUGCGCAGCGGGGUUUUGGCCAAAUUGGGCGAGGGCACAAAAUAACCACUUACCCCUUCUCACCGAGGAAGAACGGGAGAAAGGGUAUGGCACAGUCUCAAGGCUGGGUGAAAAGAUACUUCAAGGCCUUUUGUAAAGGCUUCUUUGUGGCGGUGCCCGUGGCAGUAACUUUCCUGGAUCAGGUUGCCUGCGUGGCAAGAGUGGAAGGAGCAUCAAUGCAGCCUUCUUUGAAUCCCGGGGGAAGCCAAUCGUCUGAUGUGGUGCUUUUGAACCACUGGAAAGUGAGGAAUUUUGAAGUACAACGUGGUGACAUUGUGUCAUUAGUGUAAGUGAAUCAGAGGCAUACUAUCUAUUUGUUUAUAAGAUUAUUUAUAAUUAUUUCACUCGUAAUUCACUGUUGGAACCCAUAUUGUCAAUGAUUAAAUUAAUGGGUCCAUUUAAAAUAUGGUGCUUUUUAAAAGAAAUCAAUUUUGAAAUGUAACAAUGCUAUAAAAAAAGGAUUUUUAUUUUAUCUUUAAAAUAUAUCAGUUGGUUGACGUACUUGGCUUUGGCAAAAUGUGUUUGGUGAAACGUUGAUUAGAAAUUUUUAUGUUGUAUUACCUGUAUUUGGUAUUUGGAUUAUUUUGAAAUUUUGCAUCUUGGAAGCAGCUUUCAUGUUACUCUCAUUAGCUUGGGCAGCUACCAAAUAUUUCUAGAAGAUGAUAGUUGUGACAUGAAAUUCAGUGACAUUUAUAUCUAUCAGCAAUUUGACUGAAAAAAAGGAAGUUUGGAAGGCUAGUAGACUGGAGGCUUUUGUUCAGGACCAAAAGGUGGCACUGUUUCUCUGUUAAAGUAUUAUGACUGAUUGGGAACAAAAUUUCAUUCCAAUCUUAGUGUAGAAAAGGAAUGUCAAAAUGUACAUAACUGACACAAUGAUAGUCCUAGUACAUGCUUGAAUGGUUUGUAUUUGAGGUUUGUUUGCUUAUUCUAAAAGCAAAUUCACACUGAGAAGGCUGCCACAGAACUUGCCUAAUUUCUGCUGGUUUCAGUUACCUAUAAAAAUGUUUUAAUAUGAUUUCCCGUGUUGCCAGUUAGUGGUAGCAAUUAAUGUAGCAGUUACUGUCAUUUGUUUUAAUGAUAGUAAAAUCCUACUGUUUGAUGAAGCCUUCCAACUUAUAUUUCUGAUUCUUGAAUUGGACGGAUUGUUUCUUGUUGGGUGAUAGUUUGCAGUUGUUUGGUAAAAGCAGAACGUUAUCUACUUGUUCAUACUUACCUUUGGCUAGUGCUUUGUGGAAAGAGAUAUUGUCAAGCCUGUUCCCCCAAGAUUUUUUUUUGGAAAACAUAUUAACUAAAUCUGGUUAGUAAUUAAUGGAAUAAAUAAAUUUGAGUGGAGUUUUGUAUGGCAGGCAUCCAAGGAUGGGAUUAAGUGCUUCUCAUGUUCUCGAGUGCUUUCUCUAAUAUUAGCCUACUCUUAGGAAUAUACUCUUAUUUUGUCAUUCAGGGCACUGUUUCUGCAGCCUCCUUAACAACCUUUUCAUGCUGGGUUAGCCUGUCGUGUGCUCAUUAUUCUUUUGCCUUUGGUUUGACAAGGUUACAUCCUCACUUAGUCGGUGAUGGAGAGGAUACCCACCCAAGUGAAAGAGGUCACACUAUAAGCAGACAAUUGUGCAGCAUUUUUUUCCCCCGUGGGAAACAUGCUGACUAUCUCUAACCCAGUGAAUCUGAAUAGGUAAUGGGGAAAAAAAGGCUCCUUGAAAUUCAGGGUGCAUGGAUCCAUAAAAGUACCCUAGCAUAUUAUUGGCGAUGUAAAAAAGGGAACACUAUUCUCUUUAUAAAUAUUAAAGUGAUAAUAAUUAAUAUAUAAAUUAACUUCAAAAGCUGUGUAUUCAAAUUGCAGUUGAUGUAGUAAAUUAUAGCUACUUUGGUUGAAGUGUAUUUUUCACGAGUUAAUUAUGUGCUAUUUCUCCAUCAUGUACAAAUAACACAAAUUUUCUUUCAUAAUGCUAGUUGCUAGCAGGAGCUGUUUACAUAUAAGGAUGCUUAGUGAUUGGUAUCGUAUUAUUGAACAACAAAUAAUCAUUAAGCAGUAAUUGUUGCUGUCUUUUGAUGAACAGGAAGUCAUACUACAAUCUUUAGCGUCAUGUAAUACAGUAGAAAACAUGGUUUAAAGCAUCUUUUUCGUUUUAUGAGCAAGAAUAUUUUCUAGACACAUGUCCUUAUAUUAGAAUAUCCUAUCUAUGUAAGAAAUGUGUGACUAAUAUAGAAAUGCAUGACUACAUUUUGAAUUUUUGACUAAAUAUAAAAUAUGUAAGAUACUAAUUGUUUUGAUAACACAUUUCAUUGAUACAUAAGAAAUCUUUGGAAACAAUGUAGUAUGACAGUUUAUAUUUUAAAUUACCCUGGGACAGCAUUUUAUUUUUUCAGAGUAUGUGGAAAUGCAGCAUUUCUACUAUAAUAUUAUGUAUGUGUUUAUAUAUUAAAAGGCAUAUGAAUUUUCUAAUAAAUAAACACUGCAGUAAAUGUCAGAUUUUACUUAAAACAAAAAGGUGUAGUAGCUUAAUGGAAGGAGACAUGAGGAAGGUUUGAGACUAUCUGUGUUUACAAGGGCCAGGGGCAUUAUCAUCUGAAGCUGCAAGUAGAGAAAAGAUUACAAGCUUUUUAAAAAAUGUGCUGAUCUGAGAGAUGUAGGCUCAGCUCGUUGUUUUGUGUUGCUUUGUUUUGUUUAUUUAUAACUUUAUUUUUUUUAAAAGAAAGAUCCCAGUUAACCUUGCAAUAAACACUUCUAGGUGGAAGGUUGAACGCAUAAUACUGAUUCCUUCCUAGCUGGCUGCUGUUAGUGUACUUAGCUUUUUGUUGCUCUUGUUAAUGAGGCAAAACAUUAAUGACCUGGGAAGAAAAUCACAUAUGAACCAGUGCAGCUUAGGCUUUAUACUGAAAUUCUUUCUCCAUCUACCAGCUGCCUAUGAGCUAAUUCAUGUUACAGGAACACAGGAUGUAGCCUAGCCGACUGUCCCUUCUAUUGCAAGAAAAUUUGUUCAGGACUUAGUGACCAAGGCUGUUUCCUAAAGCAAGAAAAGUCUGGCUGAGGAAGGGUGCAUAUUGGAACAUGCUUCUUUGCAUUGCUUCCACAUCUUUUCCUGUCACUUUCUUUCUAUAAAAGGUUGGUAUCAGUGGGGCUAUUGUUUAAGCACAUUAUUCAGUAUGGUUAAGUCAAAAGGUAUAUUUAUUUAAUAGCAUUAUUGGUGACACAAAACAUCAUCUGCUGUCAUCAAGUCCUCAGUAUUACUGAGUGUAUAUAGGUGACUUCAUACUCUCUUAGUGGAUUUGCAAACUAAUCGUGGUGAUUAAGGUAGAUUUUCUAUACUUUGGAAUUGACUUUUCAUUAACCUGUGUGAUGGCCUCACUGCCAUUGACUUCACAUAAGUAGCACCAUUUUAUAGUGAUAUAUCAAUUAACAGCCCCCUUGGGACAGAGGUUCCUUCCUAAUAAAGUUUCAAAUAAUCACAUUUAAACAUGUUUUAACUUUUUGUUUUGACAUAAAAUUAAAGGCUGUAAAAAUAUUAUGGAGAGUUCCCAUAUAUCCCCUAAUAGUUUUUGAGCUUUAUUAAGGUAAAAUUGACAAAAUUUUAAGAUAUUUAAAGUGUACACUAGGGUGAAUUGAUAUAUAUGUAUCCAUGUGAAAGGAUUUUUCUCCAUAAGAUUGAUUAACAUGUCACCAUUUUACCUUGUCCGUGUGUGUGUGUGUGUGAGAGAGAGAGAGAGAGAGAGAACAUUUAAGUUCUCUCAGCCAAUUUCAAUUAUAUAAUAGAGUUCCUGUCAUCACCAUGUUAUACAUUAGCUCCUCAGACCUUAUUCCUUUUUUUUUUUUAAAGGCUAGGGGUUGAAGCCUAUGCCACAGCCCCUGCAACGCCACAUCUGCAAGCUCUGCUGCAGCUCACAGUUUGAACCUGCAUCCUCAUGGAUACUGGUCGGGUUCUUAACCUGCUGAGCCACAAUGGGAACUCCCCUUAUUCAUCUUAUACCCACCAAUAUUAACAUUAUAUACAACUGUAGUCCAGUUAUGAAGUCCAGAAAAUUGACCUUGAUACAAUACUGUUAACUAAUCUAUAGACCUUAUUUGAAUUUCACUAGUUUUCCCACUAAUGUCCUCUUUCUAGACCAAAAUCCUACUUAAGAUCCUGUAAUUCAUUUUUAAUUUUCAUGUCUUUCUAGUCUCUUCUAAUCUGUGUCAGUUCCUCCAUCAUUCUUUGUCUUUUUUUUUUUUUUUUUNNUUUGCCUUUUCUAGGGCCGCUCCCAUGGCAUAUGGAGGUUCCCAGGCUAGGGGUCGAAUCGGAGCUGUAGCCACUGGCCUACACCAGAGCCACAGCAAUGCAGGAUCCGAGCCGCAUCUGCAACCUUCACCACAGCUCACAGCAACACCGGGUCCUCAACCCACUGAGCAAGGCCAGGGAUCCAACCCGCAACAUCAGGGUUCCUAGUUGGAUUCGUUAACGACUGCGCCACGACGGACACUACUCUUUGUCUUUUUUGACCUUGACCCUUUUUGAAGGGUUCUGGCUAAUUAUUUUGCGGAAUGAUCCUUUUCAGUGUUUGAGGGUCAGUCUGUCUGCAUUGCUGUGAUGGCAUUUGCUCGGGAAGCCGAAGCCACGGGAACAGUUGGGGAGGUGGAUGAGACAGGGUCAGAGGAGAAGGAUAUUUUCAGGAACAGUUCUUUUUGGUUUCUUGGGACCACAUACUUGGGUCAUGACUAAGAGGUUCCAUGGCUUCUAGAAUUCCACACAGUCAAGUUGAUCGAUGCUAGGAAGCAAAAGGGAGAGCUGUGCAGAUGGGGGAAAGGCUGUAGUUGCUAGCAAGGGUGGAAGGGAAGGAACUAAGGCUAGGUCACAGAUUAUAGCAUACUGAGCCAGCAUUCAGUUCUUGGGCAGAAGGCUAGGGAGAAGGAUUUGUCCUGUAAUAAAAGCGCUGCGUGUCAAGCAUUGUGCUAGGCGCUCUGUAUGUGCCAUUUUAAAUCUCAUAACACUAUCUGGAGAUAGUUACUAUUUUUGUGGGUGGUAGACCUAUUUUUUAAUUUAUUUUUCAUUGAGGUAACAUCGGUUUGUAACAUACAAGUUCCAUAUGUACAACAUUAUAUUUCUACUUCUGUAUACACUAAAUCUUGUGGAAAGAGUUAUUUUUAACAUGAUAAAACUGAGAUUUAGCAAGUAAAUGGCAAGAAAAUGGCAGAGCUAAAAUUUGAAUGCAGGUCUUUUUGACUCUAAACCAGUAUCGUAUGAUACAGUAGGCAUAUGUGGCUACUGAGCCCUUGAAAUGUGGCUACUGCCACUUGUUAAAAUAAUAGUGUUUGGGUAUAUCCAGUCAAAUAAAAUAUAUUAUUACAAUUAAUUUCACCUAUUCAUUUUCCCUUUUUAUUGUGGCUAGUAGAAAAUUGGAAAUUACCUAUGUGACAUUAUGUUUCAAUCGGACAAAUGCUGUGUCUAAACCUUUCUUCAGUCUACACUGCUGCUUUCCUGGAGUGUGUAUGUGUGAACUAAGAUGAGACCCUAAAGCCUGAGGUAGGAAACAUACUAAGGUACUUGCUAUGAAACAAAGCACACUCUCAAAGAUAGGUAACCACUGCGUUGGUAAGAGUGUUGGGGUGAUCAGGUCCAAAGGCAAAGGUAAAAGGAUUUGUAAUCUACAAAGAGGAAAAAAAAAUUAACCACAAUAUUUUUUUUCGUAAAGCUGAAGUCCCUUUAUUUUUAAAAAUUUAUUUCUUCUUUAUUAUUGAAAUACAGUUGAUUUACAAGAUUGUGUUACUUUUGGGUGAAUAGCAAAGUGAUUCAGAUAUAUAUAUAUAUGUGUGUGUGUGUGUGUGUGUGUGUGUGUAUUCAGAUUAUUUUCCACUAUAAGUUGUUACAAGAUAACAACUGUGCUAUAUGGUAAAUCCUCGUUGUUUAUCUAUUGUAUGUAUAGAACUUUUUAUCUAUGAAGGCCAUACUCCUAAUAUAUUUCUUCCUACCUCUCUUUCCCCUUUGGUAACCAAAAGUCUGUUUUCUAUGUCUGUGACUCUUUUUCUAUUUUGUAUAUAGAUUCAUUUGUAUUAUUUUUUAGAUUCUACAUAUAAGUGAUAUCAUAUAUUUGUCUUUCUCUGACUUCACUUAGUAUCAUAUUCUUUUUUUUUCAUUUUUUAAAUUUUAUUAUUUUUUUAUUACUCAAAUGAAUUUAUCACAUCUGUAGUUGUAUAAUGAUCAUAACAAUGUGGGAUGGAAAUCCUGUGAAAUUAGUAUCAUAUUCUUUAGAUCUACCUGUGUUGCUGCAAAUGGCAACUUUGCAUUCUUUUUAAUGGCUGAGUAAUAUUCCAUCACAUCUAACUAUCUAUCUAUAAAUAUAUAUAUAAUUAUAUAUAUUAUCUAUUGGUGGGUAUUUGGGUUGUUUCCAUGACUUGGCUAUUGUAAAUAGUGAUGUUAUGAACAUUAGGGUGCAUGAUCUUUUCAAAUCAGUUUUCAUCUUUUCUGGAUAUAUGCCUGGGAGUGGAAUUGCUGGAUAGUAUGGUAGCUCUAUUUUUAAAGGAACCUCCAUACUGUUUUCCAUAUUAGCUGCACCAAUUCACAUUCCCAUCAACAGUAUACAAGGUUCCCUUUUCUCCACACCCUCUCAAGCCUUUAUUAUUUGUAGACUUUAUCUUGAUAGCCAUUUUGAUUGGUGUGAGGUGAUACCUCAUUGUUUUGAUUUGCAUUUCUUGAAUAAUUAGUGAUGUAUAACAUGUUUUCAUGUGCUUCAAAACAGUUUUUAGUAUUUAUUGAAUGUUUAUUAUUUUCUAGUCACUGGGCUGAGUUCCAUGUUCAUUUUUAUUUAAUCCUUAUUAAAAAUAACCCAGGAAAGUAGACCUGUUGUUAUUCCUAUUCUAUAGAUGAGAACACUGAGGUACAGAGAGGGUAAGUAACUUGCUUAAGAACAUAUAGUUGGCUGGCAAAUUGAAGAGCAAAGAUUUAAACGGCUUCCCAUCAAAUCUUGUUAAACAAUAAAGCUCUAACUAUUGUGGUGAUGGUUUGCUUGAGGACACUCGCUCUUAGCAAAGAAGUCAUGCAGGCUCUAGUGUCUCUACAUCUAUCAGAUUAUCCACAUUUCUGUAAUGAAAUUUCUGAUAUAAUAUUUCCUGAAAUGUGGUCUCUUCAAUAAUAUCAAUAGUGAUAAUACUUUAAUAUAAAUAUUAGUGUGCAUAUAAUAUUGACUGUUGGUUUGCAUCAUGCUAAAGUAAUUGCCACUUUCUAACUGUGAUGGCUACAUCUCCAGCAGUAAAUAUGAGCAAAGAGUUAUGAAGAUUUGAGCCAAGGAAAUAGAUGAAAUAGAAUAGAGUCUUUGGAAAGAAAGAAAAAGAAAGAAAGGUGCUAGUUCUUUGUGUCUUGAAUGCUUGUAAAUCUUUAAAGGUCCUUUGACCCACCAAGGGAAAUUAAUUGCAGUCUGCUAAAACACGAAAUCCAUGUUUUGAAACAAAUGCCCAGGGCAAUGGUAAUACCGAAUAAUGACCUAUAAUUGUAUUAAAUGUCAGUUAAUCUGUUGGGCUGGGAGAAUAUCAUUGUAAAUCCUCAUCUAUUCUAUCUAUACUUACUCCUAAAUUUUUUUUUUUUUUUUUUUUUUUGGUUUAGAGCCAAAUAUUUUUUGAGUUUUCAAUUACCAUUGUACAUUUCAGGAACAUAAAUUUAGAGAAAACAUGACUUUCAAAGUAAGACUUUAUAGGUAGAAAGAAGUACCUAGGUUUUUGGUUUUUGUUUUAAAUUAAUUGACAGUAAAAAUGCUGGAGAGUGAAAUCCUGGGCUGCAGUUUGUUUUGAUGGGAGAUUUAGUUUUUGGCAUUUUCAAUUACCCAUAAUGAUUUGCAUUCUUUACUAAGUGUAUGUACAAAUGAUACUUAAAAAAAUGACAGUAUAAAUAUUAUUGCUAUUAUUUGAUAUAAAUUAAACUGCUUUUAUAAAUACUCUUCAGAGGCAUAUAAAAAGUUUUGGUCCUCUUAAGGUAGUCCUUAACAGCAAUUUCCUUUCUUGAGUUGGAUAAGCUACCUUCACAAUUUUUAUACAUUUAAUUAUGCAAUGAAACAUUUUCUUAGUUCAGAGACAAAUUAUAGCUUAAAAAUGUUUCAGUGAUCAUAAAUAUCAAUUUGAAUUAUUGAGACUUUAUGGUAAUGUACCUAUAGGAGAUAUCCAUAGCUUCUGCUCAACGCAUUGCAUAAAUCUCAUAUCCUUUGAGAGAUGACUAGAAGUUGUCAAAGAACAAAGUUAUACAGGCAGCAUUCUAUGAAAUAGUGGGUACUUAAAGUACUUAAAAAAAAAAUUCAAGACAGCACUUAAAAAAAAAAAGUUCAAGACAGCACUUACAAAGAAGGCGCUCCCAAAUGUCCCAUAUACACAUUAUAUGUUAUGGGUAUGGAUUCACAUUGAACUUUAAGGAGAAGCAUGUUGAAUAUGUUUAAAUAAUAAUUUUAUCAGAAAUACUUGAAAAAUUGAAAUAUUUGAAAAAUUUAAGAAGUAAGCAGCUUAGCUUUCAAACAGAAAAAUAAAGUAGCCCGUAAAUAUGUCAACCUAUCUUUAAUAUUUUUGGAACCAGUAAGAUAUGGAUAUAGGCAUAAAGAGAGAGCCACUAGAAUCAAUCCAUAUCUGAUUUCCACUUUCAGGUAUGAUAGCCUACUUUAUUUGAAGCUAAGGCCCAUACUGAAAAAAUCAGAACAUGGUGUUGAAAAGAAUACUUAAAGGGAUUGUAGUACUACCAAGGGGGCAGAGACCCCAGAGUAAAGAAAAACAUGUUGAGGUGAGCCCUGUAUUCAGUGACACUUUUCUCCUUGGAUUAUUUGGCCCUUUGUAAACAGCACAGGCCAUGAGGCUGCGAAGCAAAGCAGUGGUCCCUAAGAUGAGAGAUGCUGAGCAUGAUUUUUGGCAGUUUCACAAACAAGAAUUCAGGGAGGGAGAUGCAGGACCCUGGUAAAACAUUCUAAACUUUUAAUUGGGACCCCCGAAGAGCUAAAUCCUAGGAGUUAGAACUAGAAAUAGACUAUAAAGUUACAAAAACUGAAAUCAGCUUCUGAUAAACUCAAUUGUGAUUUGCAGGUGAUCUGCCUUUAACUGUCUGCCCUUGCCAGAAGCAAGAGACAUCAUGCAGAGUCUCUAUAAGUUUUAUACACAGCACCUGGCAUUCUAUAAAAAAAUUACCAUGUAUAUCACAAGCCAGGACCAAGAUUAAAAAAAAUACGAAACAAGAAAAAUAGCAACAGUUUCAUAGUGUUCUAGCUUUUGGAAUUAUCAGACAUGGACUAUAAAAAUAAUCAAUGCAUUAAAAAUUGAAGAUGGAUUUUAUUAGUGAGUCAGAAUCUAGAAGAACUGAAAGGAAUUCUAGAAAUGAAAACUAAUAUAACUGAAGAACUCAAUAAAUGAGUUUAAUAGUAAAUUCGACACAGCUGUGGAGAGGAUUGUGCACUGGGUGAUAAGUCAGUUGGAAAAUAUCUAGGCUGUGGUAGGAAGAAGCAUUAUCUGAAUAGAUAAAGGCCAAGUGUGUUCUAGAACUCAUGAAAGAUAUCAACCUACAGAAUCAAGAAGUACUGCAAAUCCUAUCAGGAUAAUACAGUGAAAAACCAUAAUUAGGCUACGUGGUAGGUAGUCAGACCACUGAAAACCAAAGAAAAA